CCUACGGGUGGCAGCAGUGGGGAAUAUUGCGCAAUGGGCGCGAGCCUGAAGCAGCCAAGUCGCGUGAAUGAUGACUGCCCUCCGGGUGGUAAACUUCUUUUAUAAAGGAGUAAAGUGAGGCACGUGUGCCUUUUUGUAUGUACUUUAUGAAUAAGAGUCGGCUAACUCCGUUCCAGCCGACGCGGUAAUACGGAGGAUCCGAGCGUUAUCCGGAUUUGUUGGGUUUAAAGGGAGCGUAGAUGGGUUGUUAAGUCAGUUGUGAAAGUUUGCGGCUAAACCGUAAAAUUGCAAUUGAUACUGGCAGCCUUGAGGACAGUUGAGGUAGGCGGAAUUCGUGGUGUAGCGGUGAAAUGCUUAGAUAUCACGAAGAACUCCGAUUGCGAAGGCAGCUUACUAAACUGCCACUGACAUUGAUGCUCGAAAGUGUGGGUAUCAAACAGGAUUAGAUACCCCGGUAGUC
This 460-nucleotide ribosomal RNA is filed under the name uncultured bacterium. RNAcentral's name for it is "partial 16S ribosomal RNA". It matches the Rfam family "Bacterial small subunit ribosomal RNA", at positions 338 to 795 of the family's 1533-position model. The record is from RNAcentral.